CUCGCCAUAGUUCAACGGAUAGAACAAGCCCCUCCUAAGGGCUAGAUGCAGGUUCGAUUCCUGCUGGCGAGGCCA
This 75-nucleotide transfer RNA is filed under the name Betaproteobacteria bacterium. RNAcentral describes it as "tRNA-Arg". It matches the Rfam family "tRNA". Rfam says of the family: Transfer RNA (tRNA) molecules are approximately 80 nucleotides in length. The record is from RNAcentral. Lineage: Bacteria; Pseudomonadati; Pseudomonadota; Betaproteobacteria.